AGUUUGGAGAGUUUGAUCCUGGCUCAGGACGAACGCUGACGGCGUGCUUUAGACAUGCAAGUCGAACGCGAAAGCCCUUCGGGGUGAGUAGAGUGGCGAACGGGUGAGUAACACGUGGGUAACCUGCCCCUCGCAGGGGGAUAACCGAGGGAAACCUCGGCUAAUAGCCCGUACGCUCGUUGGGCCGCAUGGCCCUUCGAGGAAAGGUAGCUUCGGCCAUCCGGCGAGGGAUGGGCCCGCGGUACAUUAGCUAGUUGGUGGGGUAACGGCCCACCAAGGCAACG
This 284-nucleotide ribosomal RNA is filed under the name Actinomycetota bacterium. RNAcentral's name for it is "partial 16S ribosomal RNA". It matches the Rfam family "Bacterial small subunit ribosomal RNA", at positions 1 to 278 of the family's 1533-position model. Lineage: Bacteria; Bacillati; Actinomycetota. The record is from RNAcentral.